RNAcentral lists this ribosomal RNA (497 nucleotides) under uncultured bacterium. RNAcentral describes it as "partial 16S ribosomal RNA". It matches the Rfam family "Bacterial small subunit ribosomal RNA", at positions 28 to 507 of the family's 1533-position model. The record is from RNAcentral.
GAUGAACGCUGGCGGCGUGCCUAAUACAUGCAAGUCGAGCGAACAGACGGGGAGCUUGCUCCUCUGACGUUAGCGGCGGACGGGUGAGUAACACGUGGAUAACCUACCUAUAAGACUGGGAUAACUUCGGGAAACCGGAGCUAAUACCGGAUAAUAUAUUGAACCGCAUGGUUCAAUAGUGAAAGACGGUUUUGCUGUCACUUAUAGAUGGAUCCGCGCCUCAUUAGCUAGUUGGUAAGGUAACGGCUUACCAAGGCAACGAUGCGUAGCCGACCUGAGAGGGUGAUCGGCCACACUGGAACUGAGACACGGUCCAGACUCCUACGGGAGGCAGCAGUAGGGAAUCUUCCGCAAUGGGCGAAAGCCUGACGGAGCAACGCCGCGUGAGUGAUGAAGGUCUUCGGAUCGUAAAACUCUGUUAUUAGGGAAGAACAAAUGUGUAAGUAACUAUGCACGUCUUGACGGUACCUAAUCAGAAAGCCACGGCUAACUACGUG